Molecule: unclassified non-coding RNA, 148 nt
Organism: Papio anubis (olive baboon)
Lineage: Eukaryota; Metazoa; Chordata; Mammalia; Primates; Cercopithecidae
Rfam family: Metazoan signal recognition particle RNA
About the family: The signal recognition particle (SRP) is a universally conserved ribonucleoprotein. It is involved in the co-translational targeting of proteins to membranes. The eukaryotic SRP consists of a 300-nucleotide 7S RNA and six proteins: SRPs 72, 68, 54, 19, 14, and 9.
Source: Ensembl
GCUGGGCGUGGUGGCGCAUGCCUGUAAUCCCAGCUACUCAGGAGGCUGAGGUGGGAGAAUUGCUUGAACCUGGGAGGUGGAGGUUGCAGUGAGUCGAGACUGCACCACUGCACUCCAGCCUGGGCAAUAGAGUGAGACUCCAUCUCAA